This 24-nucleotide non-coding RNA is filed under the name Arabidopsis thaliana (thale cress). The record is from RNAcentral. Lineage: Eukaryota; Viridiplantae; Streptophyta; Magnoliopsida; Brassicales; Brassicaceae.
AUCGUCAAUCAAGUUAUGGUGUUA